Molecule: transfer RNA, 80 nt
Filed under: Selaginella moellendorffii
Lineage: Eukaryota; Viridiplantae; Streptophyta; Lycopodiopsida; Selaginellales; Selaginellaceae
Description: tRNA-Phe
Source: RNAcentral
GCCGCCGUCGGGCUCCAUAUCGGUAGAGCGGAGGAGGGUUGAACACCCUCGUGCCACCAGUUCGAGCCUGGUUCCUGGCG